This is a non-coding RNA of Phrynosoma platyrhinos (Desert horned lizard), 74 nucleotides long. Lineage: Eukaryota; Metazoa; Chordata; Lepidosauria; Squamata; Phrynosomatidae. The record is from the annotation of a GenBank genome assembly.
GUAAAUGUGGCAUAGUGGUUUGAGUACUGGACUACAACUCUGGUGGCCAGGGUUCAAUUCUCCACUCAGCUAUG